CACGUAGUUAGCCGUGACUUUCUAAGUAAUUACCGUCAAAUAAAGGCCAGUUACUACCUCUAUCUUUCUUCACUACCAACAGAGCUUUACGAGCCGAAACCCUUCUUCACUCACGCGGCGUUGCUCCAUCAGACUUUUCGUCCAUUGUGGAAGAUUCCCUACUGCUGCCUCCCGUAGGAGUUUGGGCCGUGUCUCAGUCCCAAUGUGGCCGAUCAGUCUCUCAACUCGGCUAUGCAUCAUUGCCUUGGUAAGCCGUUACCUUACCAACUAGCUAAUGCACCGCAGGUCCAUCCAAGAGUGAUAGCAGAACCAUCUUUCAAACUCUAGACAUGCGUCUAGUGUUGUUAUCCGGUAUUAGCAUCUGUUUCCAGGUGUUAUCCCAGUCUCUUGGGCAGGUUACCCAGUGUUACUCACCCGUCCGCCGCUCGCUUGUAUCUAGUUUCAUUUAGUGCAAGCACUAAAAUCAUCAGGCAAGCUCGCUCGA
RNAcentral lists this ribosomal RNA (484 nucleotides) under uncultured Lactobacillus sp. RNAcentral describes it as "partial 16S ribosomal RNA". The record is from RNAcentral. Lineage: Bacteria; Bacillati; Bacillota; Bacilli; Lactobacillales; Lactobacillaceae.